Scylla paramamosain (green mud crab) is the source of this 3010-nucleotide long non-coding RNA. RefSeq lists it as uncharacterized. The transcript has 3 exons. The record is from RefSeq and is a predicted model, not a curated record. Lineage: Eukaryota; Metazoa; Arthropoda; Malacostraca; Decapoda; Portunidae.
GUACAUUACACAGAACUCCUACAAGCAUAUCCCAUAAGAUAGAUAAAAUAAGUGGUAGAGAGUACUAUCACUUUGGAAUAAAGAAUGCCCUUCAGCAGUUCCUUAACUUGGCUUCAGAAGCAGUCAUACCUAGUUUUCCAUCUACUUUGUUAUUGAAAGUUAAUGGUGAUGGAAUACCUCUGCACAAAAGCUCCAAUAAACAAUUUUUGGCCACUCCUUGUUCAGUUUUGUGGUGAGACAAAAGCAAUAUCAGUUGUAAAUGUUGUAGGUAUUUUCUGGAGAUUGUAAACCAACAGAUACUCAAAAUAAUCUAAGAAAAUUCAUUACAGAUUUACAGGAGAUAAACAAUGGAUAUAUGUUUCUUGAGAAAACUUAUUUUUGUUAAGAUUCAUUGUUUUACAUAUGAUGCUCCUGCAAGAUAGUUCCUUAAGUGCAUUGUUUCUCAUAAUUCAUACUCAGGAUGUGAAUGCUGUACACAGCAUGGUAAAAAUCUGAAGAGUAUGACAUUUCCAUAAAUAAAUGCAACAUUGAGAACAGAUGAUGAUUUCAUUAGAGAAAAUUAUAGUGAUCAUCAUCAGCUUUGACAGCUUUGAAUAUUGGUAUGGUAACUAAAUUUAAGCUGGAUCCAAAGCAUCUUCUGUAUAGGUGUAAUGAGAAAGUUUCUGUAUUUGUGGCUGAAAGGCCCACUUAAUGUUCGCACUGGUUUGACUUAUAAAAAAGCUUAUUUCAAAAAAGCUUGAAGAAAUAUCUAUGUAUAUGCCAGAUGAGUUCCCUAGAAAACCACGAUCACUUGACUUUGUAGAAAAAUUUAAAGAAACUGAAUUUCGCUCUUUUUGUAUUGUACACAGGCCCAGUUUGCUUAGCAGAUAAAGUUGAGCAUAGUUUAUAAUUUUUUUUUUCCCUUUUAGCAUUGCUGUAACUCUGAUGUCCAGAGGAAAUGCUCAAUGCAAUAUUAGUAAAGGACAGAAGUUACUGAUUGCCUUUGUGAACCAUUUUUCAGAAUUGUAUGGCCUUACAAAUUUAGUUUGUAAUAUUCACAAUUUGAUUCAUAUUCCACAUGAUGUUGCUAGGUAUGGUUCACUGAAUGAAUUUUCUGCAUUUCCAUUUGAGAGCCAUUUAGGUUUGAUGAAAAAUGUUAAGAAAACCUAAUUGUGUCCUUACACAAGUUGUUAAAAGAAUGUAUGAAUGUAGGUCCAGAAAAUUAGUAUAUCCAGCAUCUGAACAACCAAUACUCAGGCAACAGUACUGUCAGGGACCAGUAAUAGGGCCAUUCCCAAGCAAACAAUUUAAAGAAAUAGUUUUUGAGAACUAUUGUAUUAAAACAAAUAGUGUUAAUCAUGGAGUAAUGAUAAGACCUAAUCCUACAGGACAUGUAGUAAAUAUAGCUAGAUAUGAUGAUGACUCUGAUUGUGUAUAAAAAUUACUCAAAAUAUGAAGCUUUGUACAGUUAUCCAGUUUCCUCAUGUACACUAGGAGUUUUCCUUGUUGGUGACAUGAGUUCUGAGGUGAAGUCAUGUAAUGUAAAAGAUGUAUUGCACAAAUAUAUAUCAUUCCCAUUUCAAAAUGAUAUAGCUGCAUUCCCUGCUUUUCAUACAGAGCACAGUCAUCAGUAAUAUGAGUGUGGAAAAUUUGCAGUUGUUUUUUAUCAUGAGAGUCUUGCAGAAGGAGUAGCACUUGUACCAACUGCCUGGUUAGUUGAACAAAAGAGAUAAUGCUUGUGGCCUCCCUUCAAAAGUGCACCCAAGGUGACAAAAGCAGCACUGGAAAUGUGGGAGCCAAAUGAUUCUUGGAGCCUUCACCCCAUUAGAGUCUUGGCCAAAAUUAAUUAUUAUGUUGCUGGAAGAACUCUGGCAAAGAGAGCUGAGGUUGCCUCCAAUAUUUAGAGUGAAGGAGAAUAUGGCAGGGAGCACAUAAGUAAUAAUAUGAACCUAGGUCUGUGUGGGAUCCCUUAUUGGUAUGCAGGUUGGGGCUGAAGAUCUUUGCUGUGAUCAUGGUUAAGAUUCUAAUUCUGUGGACAUACAGUUCCAAGUCUGAUUAGAAAGCUGACAUAAUAAAUUUUACUUCGGCAAAAUCACCUAUCCACUGGGUGGACAUUUCCCAUGAGAGAGAGUGCGUCACGCGCUGCUGGCAGUUGUUUGCUGAUCGCCGCGUCGGGCAGACAUGGUCAUUCUGGGUCAUACGGACUCCCAAGUUUUUGCUGUUUUCUUUCAGAUAAGGCCACGAUACUUGUUACGCAGGUACAGUGCCUUCAACUUCGUUACCCGUUUUUGGGGCGAGUUGUAUUAUUGGUAUAUCGGUCUCCACUGACGAUGGAACUGUGUGGGAAGCUUACGGCUUUGUUCUCCUUAUCGCAGUGCGGCAGCCAUGUCGGAGUCUGGUGAAGCGUCCUCUGCCUCUCGAUCCCCUUCCCCUCCUGCCCCACGUGCCUUCUGUGGGCCUUCUCCUCUCCCUGGGUCCACUGUUCGCCCUCAAGAUAACGACGACAGGCACAGGGAUCAUUCAUCUCGUCGCUUGAGUGGGAGGCAUGGUUGCGUGAGAUUACGUAACGGUGCUGACGCAUGUGGUUCCCGCGGCACUUCUCCUGCUCCUCCCCCUUGGUCAGUUGUGUUGGACGCCUUGGCUGAUUUGCGGGGUGAAGUGGAGGCCUUGAAGGCAGACAGACGGCAACUACCACCCCCUACUGGGUCGGCGCAGGUGACCGUGGAGGACAGUACUCUGGGGGGGCUGGGGUUUGUUGCCUCCUUGUUCUGCCACUUUUUCUGGUUUCUUGGCCAGGAUGAGUGAGGAUGAGGCAGUGUCGAUGCCUGCCGCCCCUGCUGACAGCACCUUAAUUCAGGGCACUAAGGCCUUUGCAUUUUCUUUUCCUCUCUACUAUUGCAUCCUCCCUCGUCAUCCACAUGGCUUCAAAGCCUCAUGGGAAAUGUCCGCCCAGCGGAUAGGUGAUUUUGCCGAAGUAAAAUUAACAAAGUACGAGUACACGAGACUUACCGUAGGUCAGUUGAAGUGUACU